AUGGCUCCACCGCCGCCCGCCCCUACGCCGGCGGCGAGGCUACUGAGGGAGUACGGGUGGGACCUGAUGCUCGGAUCGAUCGCUGCGUUCUACGCCGUCAUGGUGCCUUACACCAAGGUGGAGGAGAGCUUCAAUGUGCAGGCCAUGCAUGAUAUUCUGUACCACAAUCAUCACAUCGAGAAGUAUGACCAUUUAGAGUUUCCUGGCGUUGUUCCUCGGACAUUUAUAGGAGCAUUGAUAAUAGCUAUUCUCUCGUCGCCUGCGGUUCUCAUAAUGCGUGUAUUCCAUGUUCCAAAGAUUUAUAGUCUUCUAGCAGUCCGAUUAGUAUUGGGCUAUGCUAUCCUGACGACUUUGAGACUUUUCCGAGUUGAGGUCAAAAGAAAGUUUGGUCGCCAUGUUGAAGCAUUCUUUGUGGUACUAACUGCUAUCCAGUUUCACGUUUUAUUUUACUCAACUCGGCCUCUUCCAAAUAUAUUAGCAUUGGCUUUAGUUAACUUGGCAUACUCGUUCUGGUUCAAGGGAAAUUAUCUACGCACAUUACAGGCACUGAUUGUUGCAGCCGUUGUUUUUAGAUGUGAUAUGAUUCUACUUCUUGGUACAAUAGGGGUUGCACUUUUGCUGAGCAGAUCUUUUUCUCUAAUGGAAGCCAUAAAGUGUUGCAUAAGCACUGCUCUUUUAUGCAUUGGUUUCACGGUACUGGUUGACUCGAUAAUGUGGCAGAGAAUCCUGUGGCCAGAAUUUGAAGUUUUCUGGUUUAAUUCAGUUCUGAACCGAAGUUCAGAAUGGGGUACACAUUCGAUCCAUUGGUACUUCACCUCAGCACUUCCGCGCUCCAUGCUUGUAGCCUAUCCUCUUUGCUUGGUUGGUGCUCUUCUUGAUAGGAGGAUAGUGCCAUACGUGCUUCCAGUCACCUUAUUUGUUGUACUCUAUUCGAAACUUCCACAUAAGGAGCUUCGUUUCAUAAUUGCCGCAGUUCCCAUGCUUAAUGUGUCUGCUUCUCUGGCCGCAAACAGAUUAUAUAAUAACAGAAAGAAAAGUGGUUGGAAUUUCCUUUAUGUUCUCAUGCUUGGUGCCUUUCUUGUCAGUCUUGGAUACUCUGCUGUGAGUUUCAUGGCCUCCUACAGCAAUUAUCCUGGUGGCCAUGCUCUGAAGGCUCUACAUGAAGCAGAUUCUUCUAUGAAGGAAAAAAUGGUCCACAUUGAUGUCUUAACCGCGAUGAGUGGGGUUUCUCGUUUCUGCGAAAAUGAAUACCCUUGGAGAUACUCGAAGGAAGAGGACAUUUCCAUUGAAGAAUAUCAGAACAGAAAUUUCACCUAUCUACUGAAUGAGCACCGCUACGUUAGUGGCUACGAGUGCUUGUUUGGCGUGGAGGGAUUCUCCAGAGCCAGAAUUCAACCCCGGUUUCCACCACUUUCCCUGGUGAAAGUGCCGAAAGUGUUCGCACAUGGGAACACGGGAGAUCCCGGUAUUCUCUCGCUAGACUGGCCCGGCUGCCCCUGA
RNAcentral lists this ribosomal RNA (1500 nucleotides) under Triticum aestivum (bread wheat). RNAcentral's name for it is "partial small subunit ribosomal RNA". The record is from RNAcentral. Lineage: Eukaryota; Viridiplantae; Streptophyta; Magnoliopsida; Poales; Poaceae.